CCUACGGGAGGCAGCAGUGAGGAAUAUUGGUCAAUGGACGAGAGUCUGAACCAGCCAAGUAGCGUGAAGGAUGACUGCCCUAUGGGUUGUAAACUUCUUUUAUAUGGGAAUAAAAUGUUCCACGUGUGGGAUUUUGUAUGUACCAUAUGAAUACGGAUCGGCUAACUCCGUGCCAGCAGCAGCGGUAAUACGGAGGAUCCGAGCGUUAUCCGGAUUUAUUGGGUUUAAAGGGAGCGUAGGUGGAUUGUUAAGUCAGUUGUGAAAGUUUGCGGCUCAACCGUAAAAUUGCAGUUGAAACUGGCAGUCUUGAGUACAGUAGAGGUGGGCGGAAUUCGUGGUGUAGCGGUGAAAUGCUUAGAUAUCACGAAGAACUCCGAUUGCGAAGGCAGUUCACUGGACUGCAACUGACACUGAGGCUCGAAAGUGUGGGUAUCAAACAGGAUUAGAUACCCCAGUAGUC
This 460-nucleotide ribosomal RNA is filed under the name uncultured bacterium. RNAcentral describes it as "partial 16S ribosomal RNA". It matches the Rfam family "Bacterial small subunit ribosomal RNA", at positions 338 to 795 of the family's 1533-position model. The record is from RNAcentral.